UGAGGAAUAUUGGUCAAUGGGGCGAGAGCCUGAACCAGCCAAGUCGCGUGAGGGAGGAAGGUCCUACGGAUUGUAAACCUCUUUUGCCGGGGAGCAAAGGGGCCAUUGAUGGCAGGAUGAGCGUACCCGGAGAAAAAGCAUCGGCUAACUCCGUGCCAGCAGCCGCGGUAAUACGGAGGAUGCGAGCGUUAUCCGGAUUUAUUGGGUUUAAAGGGUGCGCAGGCGGCGCGCCAAGUCAGCGGUCAAAGUUCCGGGCUCAACCCGGUGUCGCCGUUGAAACUGGCGUGCUCGAGUGCGUGCGAGGAAGGCGGAAUGCGUUGUGUAGCGGUGAAAUGCAGUAGAUAUGACGCAGAACUCCGAUUGCGAAGGCAGCUUUCCAGCGCGCUACUGACGCUGAGGCACGAAAGCGUGGGGAUCGAACAGGAUUAGAUACCCUGGUAGU
Molecule: ribosomal RNA, 442 nt
Filed under: uncultured Porphyromonadaceae bacterium
Lineage: Bacteria; Pseudomonadati; Bacteroidota; Bacteroidia; Bacteroidales; Porphyromonadaceae
Description: bacterial SSU rRNA
Rfam family: Bacterial small subunit ribosomal RNA
Source: RNAcentral